GACGAACGCUGGCGGCGUGCUUAACACAUGCAAGUCGAACGGAAAGGCCCUGCUUUUGUGGGGUGCUCGAGUGGCGAACGGGUGAGUAACACGUGAGUAACCUGCCCUUGACUUUGGGAUAACUUCAGGAAACUGGGGCUAAUACCGGAUAGGAGCUCCUGCUGCAUGGUGGGGGUUGGAAAGUUUCGGCGGUUGGGGUUGGACUCGCGGCUUAUCAGCUUGUUGGUGGGGUAGUGGCUUACCAAGGCUUUGACGGGUAGCCGGCCUGAGAGGGUGACCGGCCACAGUGGGACUGAGAUACGGCCCAGACUCCUACGGGAGGCAGCAGUGGGGAAUAUUGCACAAUGGGCGGAAGCCUGAUGCAGCAACGCCGCGUGCGGGAUGACGGCCUUCGGGUUGUAAACCGCUUUCGCCUGUGACGAAGCGUGAGUGACGGUAAUGGGUAAAGAAGCACCGGCUAACUACGUG
RNAcentral lists this ribosomal RNA (468 nucleotides) under uncultured bacterium. RNAcentral's name for it is "partial 16S ribosomal RNA". It matches the Rfam family "Bacterial small subunit ribosomal RNA", at positions 28 to 507 of the family's 1533-position model. The record is from RNAcentral.